GCCUUGCUGAACCUCAUUCAGGUGGCCUUGGCCCAUCGCUCCAGCCUGUCCACAUCCCUCUGUAGAGCCUUCCUACCCUCCAGCAGGUCCACACUCCUGCCCAGCUUGGUGUCACCUGCAAAUUU
Tyto alba (common barn owl) is the source of this 125-nucleotide long non-coding RNA. RefSeq lists it as uncharacterized. The transcript has 3 exons. NCBI's taxonomy places the organism in Eukaryota, Metazoa, Chordata, Aves, Strigiformes, Tytonidae. The record is from RefSeq and is a predicted model, not a curated record.